UUAAUUUAGAAAAGUCUAAAGAAAUCAUAAAAGCGAUAAAGAUCGUUUUGGGCUUAUAGAAACGUUCGGGUUUAAUUGGGCCCAUUGGGCCUAAACCCAUUGGGCUUUUAUUCAAGCAUUGGAUGACUUGAAAUAAAUGAAAGCCCAAAGCCCAAACAACACUAAGAGGGCCGGCCAUAUUAAGUGGGGAAGGAGAGAAAAUUAGUCAAGUGUUGACUAGGUUUCUUUUGUCUAUAUAAGCAACUUUAUAGAGAUAAAGUUCAUUAGGGUUUUUGUGUGUUAAAACAACAAAGAGGCAAAAGAAAAAGAGCUCUCUAAACUACACAAAGGCCGGCCACCAAAGGGGGUUUUUACUAACCUCUCUUACACCCUUUUGGUUAUUCCUUCAUCCUUCUCACUACACUAGUGGGUGAGGAUCUUUAGAGGUUUCCUACUUUGGGAACUUGAAGAGAACCUAGGAGCACUCAUUGUAACAAAGUGGAGGAGGCAAGGAGGGAAGCAAGGCUCAAGGAUUUCAAGGAGCAAAGGGCUUGGAGGUGGUCCAUCCUUGGUCUCAAGUCU
This 561-nucleotide long non-coding RNA is filed under the name Malus domestica (apple). RNAcentral's name for it is "long non-coding RNA (MDOM_LNC010525)". Lineage: Eukaryota; Viridiplantae; Streptophyta; Magnoliopsida; Rosales; Rosaceae. The record is from RNAcentral.